UUUUCUUGAAUAUUCCUCACCUCAUUAUAAAAUAGAAAACCAAACCAGUGUUUAUAACAGAGAGCACUGAAAGAAUUUGAUUUACUUGUUAUCUUUGGAUUUUUUUUCAUGUCUUCUAACACUCCUUUUUUACUCAGAAAAAUUCGUAAUGCUUGGAAAAACUUAACCCCUCCAAUACCUCAAUGUCAAAUCCCAAUAUCUUCUUCACCUAGCAGUGUUACCAGAAUUAGGUCCUUGGCAUUUGUUUUGCCUCAAAACCAUGAUUCUGAGCACUUGCCACUAUAUUUAAAUGCUAUUGAAAUCGAAAAACAGGACUACCUCCCCAGGAGUCCCUUCACUAUACCAACAAAAAUUGUUAGUCUCACUUUUCAGGCUGCUUUAGGGUAUCAGGCAAUGUCUACAUCCCAUUAUCAACCUUCCAUUCUAGGAGCUUCUAUGGUGAUUGCUUUUGCAGCAUCAUUCUCUGCAUUGUUCAUCAAAUAUUCCUACCCAAGGCUUGCAGCAAUAGUUGAGAAAAUUGGGUAUCUCUCUUUUGCACUCAGUUUCUUUUUAAUGUCACAAGUUUUCUUCUCAGGGACUUUAAUCAUGUGGAUCAUCAUAGGAGGGCUGGCUUUAGCCAUCUUAGCCUCCCUCCUUAUGUGAAGCCUCUCUGUAGUGAUCCCCACUCACAAAAUCUCCGAACUAAGUUAAUGAUCUAUUAUGCAUCACAAGUGCUAUUGCAAUGCAAUGGUUCCACAAUUGUGGUCACAAAAAGUAUCUUCCACAAUAUACUCAUAUCUUUGAUGAUCACAACGCAACCGCAAUUGCGAUUUAAAAUUUAACAUGCGAGUAUCAUUCUACAAGGUUCAAGGGACUUUGUUUUCUACUAUUUUAGCCAUCAAUGUGAUGGCAUAUGCUACAUCUACUUCCUUAUCCAUCUUUUGUCACAGCAUAAUAAGAUACCUUGCAGUCUCUCUGAUUAAACCUUGAAUCCGGCUAAUCAGAAACCUAUGUCUAUGGCUCUUACCUGAUAACUCUUAUCCAGUGUGUGUUUGUGCUGACCGCACAUGAACAAAACUGAGCCUAUUUCAAUGGUUUAUAGUCUGUCAUCUUUCCACCUUAAUAUGGUUCACACAGCAGAAGAAACUACAAUAGCCUACAUUUGGCUCUUUCUCAGAAAAUACAACUAUUUAUACCUAGUCGAAAACUCGAAAUGGAUCUUAUAGCUGGUGGAAGCCUGGAAACAUUCAACAGCAACCUCAGCUUGUCUUCAACCACAUAGUGAUCGUUUAGUCCUAAUCGAGCAACUACUACUUAUUAGGUAGAUCUUCUCAAUGAUCUACUGCAUCUAAGAACGUAGAAACUUGCGGAGCAUCUGAACUAUCUAUUGGCGAAUACAGUUCUGGAAGAGAAAUUUCAGUAUUUCACUGGGACAUUUGUUGAUCUGAGAAUUUUAUGAAGAGGUUAUUUUAGAUUCAUUGUUAAUAUAAAAGUUUUACAUUACCUUCUAAUCACGUUUUGCUAUGUGAUAUGUGCUUAAACGUGAUUGAAUGGUUUAGCAAAAAAACUAGAUUAACGAUAAGUUAAAAUUACAUCCUUUUGUUAAUUAGUUGAAGCUGCAAAGGAAUGGCCACAUUUAGAGCGUGCUUAAUAGAAGUUUGAAUAGAACAAAUAAAAUUGGAGUGAAAUUUGAGGGAUGGACUACAUGUAAAUUGUAAUGUAAGUUCCUUAAAAUUUUCAUUUCACCCAUUUUUAAACAUAUGCUACCCUUGAAUAUGUAAACGAGUGCCACUAUGAACUUAUCAAGAUUGUGUCCAGUGUUUGUAAAAUAUAUGAUAUAUGAUUAGUAUCUCAA
Molecule: long non-coding RNA, 1834 nt
Organism: Lotus japonicus
Lineage: Eukaryota; Viridiplantae; Streptophyta; Magnoliopsida; Fabales; Fabaceae
Exons: 2
Source: RefSeq, a predicted model, not a curated record